GUCCCAACAAGACCUGGGCAGUUUCUUGGGCUGCAGCCUAACACCCUCAUCUCAGAAUCAGUGUGUUCUUCUGAGAAACCUUCACCUUCUCCCGGAGCUCUGUGAACUCAAGGGUCUCCGCUGUAUAAAAAGUCUCCCUGUGCUGAACUGUCUGUUCAUCUUCAAGCCAUCAUGAGUCCUAAGAAACGCAGAUCACAGAAGUUCUUAUCCGACAUAAAGAAUAAUAUGAAAAUUGAACACUAUUUUCCUCAGGUCAAUAAAGAACAACAGAAUAAUUCCAGUACUCCUCAAAUGAAGACAGGCUCUAGAAAAGGU
This 315-nucleotide long non-coding RNA is filed under the name Rhinolophus ferrumequinum (greater horseshoe bat). Its description in RNAcentral is "lncRNA (ENSRFEG00010003236.1)". Lineage: Eukaryota; Metazoa; Chordata; Mammalia; Chiroptera; Rhinolophidae. The record is from RNAcentral.